UACGGAGGGUGCAAGCGUUAUCCGGAUUCACUGGGUUUAAAGGGUGCGUAGGCGGGCAGGUAAGUCCGUGGUGAAAUCUCUGAGCUUAACUCAGAAACUGCCAUGGAUACUAUUUGUCUUGAAUAUUGUGGAGGUAAGCGGAAUAUGUCAUGUAGCGGUGAAAUGCGUAGAUAUCGAGAGGAACACCAGUGGCGAAGGCGAGUCCCUGGACAACUCCUGACACUGAGGCACGAAAGCUAGGGGAGCAAACAGG
This 253-nucleotide ribosomal RNA is filed under the name uncultured bacterium. Its description in RNAcentral is "partial 16S ribosomal RNA". It matches the Rfam family "Bacterial small subunit ribosomal RNA", at positions 524 to 776 of the family's 1533-position model. The record is from RNAcentral.